Portunus trituberculatus (swimming crab) is the source of this 644-nucleotide long non-coding RNA. RefSeq lists it as uncharacterized. The transcript is spliced from 3 exons. NCBI's taxonomy places the organism in Eukaryota, Metazoa, Arthropoda, Malacostraca, Decapoda, Portunidae. The record is from RefSeq and is a predicted model, not a curated record.
CCUAACCUAACCUCACCUUCCCUCCCACUCACCUCUGCCACCUCUUCAUACUGCCUCACUCAACCAUAACUUUCCUCCAUCAGUCAAGAAGCACAAGAAGGAUGGUGUGUCGGAGGCAGAGCGGCAUUGGCAUCUGCUGCGUUGAGGGAGGUAUGUGGAGUUCAACUUGGUGUACCACCGAGGCACCAAGUUUGGAUUUGCCAUGGCCAACGCCAGGAUUGAGAGUAUCUUGAUGUCUCUUGCUCUUCAUGCGAGCCCUGGAGGAUGAGAACACAGUGUUACAAGUGGAAUACAACCAUCUAAAGUCCCAGCAGCCAGUGGGGUCCUCUGAGGACAGCCUGGGCCCUCAGUGUUCAGAGGCGGAGAUGCUGGUGGAGGCAAAACUCUUGAGGUAACACAAGGGGCAGCUGGAGGCACGGAUGGGCAUUCUGUAGGUGCACAAUAAACAGCUGGAGGCACAACUGCAGCACCUCAGACAGCUGCUGGGAGAGGCUGUGGAGGUCCAGCGACACACUGCACACUGCUCACUGUACACUGCUUACAUAAACGUAUGUGCAGAGUGCAAGACUUAGAGGGCCAAGGAUGGAGGAUGCUUCAAGACAGAGAGUGGCAAGGAUGGAGGAUGCUUCAAGACAGGGGCAAGG